This is a long non-coding RNA of Lates calcarifer (barramundi perch), 283 nucleotides long. RefSeq lists it as uncharacterized. Lineage: Eukaryota; Metazoa; Chordata; Actinopteri; Centropomidae. The transcript is spliced from 3 exons. The record is from RefSeq and is a predicted model, not a curated record.
AUGUAGCGUCACACAGAGGAAGGAGGAGGCUUUUACUGUCUGUCAAACUGCUGCUGAUCUCAGUUCAGCUGCAGAAUGGAGGGAACAUCUGUCCAGAGGCUGCUGGUUGUGAGCUCACUGCUGAUCUGCUCAACAAACCAAGCUCGUCUGACUGUGAGUCCCAGCAGAUCUCAGUUUUUUAAAGGAGACUCUGUCUCUCUGAGCUGUGAGGAGGACGACAGCUCUGCUGGAUGGAGGCUGUGGAGGAACACAACUGGACAAACCAGAGCUAAAUGUAGAGCUG